AUGAAUAUAAACAGGAUAUUGCAAUUAUCCAUGAAUAUAAACAAGAUAUUGCAAUUAUCCAUGAAUAUAAACAAGAUAUAACUAUCCAUGAAUAUAAACAAGAUAUUGCAACUAUCCAUGAAUAUAAACAGGGAAGAAAUAACAUAUUGAUGUACCCCUUUUAAACAUUUGUUUCUGUGGCCGAUAAUUAAAAGGUGUUUCAUGUGGCCAGCACAACGACCAAGUUGGACAACACCAAUAAGAUGGUGUCUUAAGAAUCACUAUUUUUAAAAUCCCAUUCUUCGUCAGAUUUGAUUCCGAUACACCUCGGUUCGGGAGUCUGGCUCUUUAACACUCAUCUUAUCUUAUAAAUGACAGACGUGACUUCAAGAGAGAAGAUAAUUACGUCCUACGUGUAUCCCUGUGUCCUAUGAUUUUUGAUGUUGAUUAAUGACUUCACCUCUGCCAGGCAAUCCAUGCUGUAAUAGCACUAAGGAAGAAGGUGCAUUUGUACAAACUUGUCCUAGUAUAUGGAAUAAGAAAUGUGUCUUUAUCUCUGUGUCUUUUUUAGUAGUUUAUUAGGUUUUAUUUUUUAUUAGUAAAUUUUGGUUCAAUAAGCCACCACGCGCGCAAAAUAUUAAUGAAAUUGCUAAUAAAAAAUUUUUAAAUGGUGUUACCCUUCUUUUUUUAAUCGCACAGAAAUAAAGAUGUGGC
Non-coding RNA from Biomphalaria pfeifferi, 693 nucleotides. The record is from the annotation of a GenBank genome assembly. NCBI's taxonomy places the organism in Eukaryota, Metazoa, Mollusca, Gastropoda, Planorbidae.